This 368-nucleotide ribosomal RNA is filed under the name uncultured organism. Its description in RNAcentral is "bacterial SSU rRNA". It matches the Rfam family "Bacterial small subunit ribosomal RNA", at positions 526 to 896 of the family's 1533-position model. The record is from RNAcentral.
CGUAGGGUGCGAGCGUUAAUCGGAAUUACUGGGCGUAAAGCGUGCGCAGGCGGUUUUGUAAGACAGGCGUGAAAGCCUGCAGCUCAACUGUAGAACAGCCAUUGAAACUGAAGGUCUUGAAUGUGGUUAAAGUAGGCGGAAUGUAUCAUGUAGCGGUGAAAUGCUUAGAUAUGAUACAGAACACCGAUAGCGAAGGCAGCUUGCUGAACCAUUAUUGACGCUGAGGCACGAAAGCGUGGGGAGCAAACAGGAUUAGAUACCCUGGUAGUCCACGCCCUAAACGUUGAUUACUCGUUGUUGGCGAUAUAACUGUCAGCGACUAAGCUAAAGCGUUAAGUAAUCCACCUGGGAAGUACGACGCAAGGUUG